GACGAACGCUGGCGGCGUGCUUAACACAUGCCAGUCGAACGGAAAGGCCCUGCUUUUGUGGGGUGCUCGAGUGGCGAACGGGUGAGUAACACGUGAGUAACCUGCCCUUGACUUUGGGAUAACUUCAGGAAACUGGGGCUAAUACCGGAUAGGAGCUCCUGCUGCAUGGUGGGGGUUGGAAAGUUUCGGCGGUUGGGGAUGGACUCGCGGCUUAUCAGCUUGUUGGUGGGGUAGUGGCUUACCAAGGCGUUGACGGGUAGCCGGCCUGAGAGGGUGACCGGCCACAUUGGGACUGAGAGACGGCCCAGACUGCUACGGGAGGCAGCAGUGGGGAAUAUUGCACAAUGGGCGGAAGCCUGAUGCAGCAACGCCGCGUGCGGGAUGACGGCCUUCGGGUUGUAAACCGCUUUCGCCUGUGACGAAGCGUGAGUGACGGUAAUGGGUAAAGAAGCACCGGCUAACUACGUG
RNAcentral lists this ribosomal RNA (468 nucleotides) under uncultured bacterium. RNAcentral describes it as "partial 16S ribosomal RNA". It matches the Rfam family "Bacterial small subunit ribosomal RNA", at positions 28 to 507 of the family's 1533-position model. The record is from RNAcentral.